UACGUAGGGUGCGAGCGUUGUCCGGAAUUAUUGGGCGUAAAGAGCUCGUAGGCGGCUUGUCGCGUCGGAUGUGAAAGCCCGGGGCUUAACUCCGGGUCUGCAUUCGAUACGGGCAGGCUAGAGUUCGGUAGGGGAGAUCGGAAUUCCUGGUGCAGCGGUGAAAUGCGCAGAUAUCAGGAGGAACACCGGUGGCGAAGGCGGAUCUCUGGGCCGAUACUGACGCUGAGGAGCGAAAGCGUGGGGAGCGAACAGG
RNAcentral lists this ribosomal RNA (253 nucleotides) under uncultured bacterium. Its description in RNAcentral is "partial 16S ribosomal RNA". It matches the Rfam family "Bacterial small subunit ribosomal RNA", at positions 524 to 776 of the family's 1533-position model. The record is from RNAcentral.